UUGUCUCAAAUCAAGUUUAAAUGAUAAGCAGUGAAUACAAAAUACUUAAAAACCAUCCUAGAACUCGGUGUCACAAGUGCAUGAGCAAUUUCUAAAAUAAAUCUAAUAAAGUACAACAAAUGUCCGGAACACAAAAUUGGAUCGAAAAUAAAUACAGAUAAUUGAAAGAGACUUUGAUGGACGCGGGUCGCCUUGAGAAUUGCAGCUCACCUAAGUCUCUGUAUCAACCAUGCUGCUACGCCCAGUAGGCCAUUAGAGUUACAUAUACCUGUGCAACAAAAACUGCACAGAAGUGUAAUAUGAGUAUGAAAACAACAUGUACUCAAUAAGUAUCUCGUCUAAUCUAGAAGAAGUAGAGACGAGAUGGUCAACUUCGACACUUAUUAGUGGUCCAAUAAUAAUCUCAAUAAUACAUUAAAUCGUGAAUUUCUAUAACAUGAUUUUUACCAAAUAGAAGGAAACAAGUAAACAAUUAUUCCUUUUAUAGGAAAUUUCUAAAAUUUCCUUUAUUAUUAUUUUUCAUAUAUUCUCAAGCCAUGAAGAGGCAAUAAUAACUUUAAUCAGUUCAAGGCAGCAAUAUAAGCAUGCGCAAAUCAUGCCGAGGUGUACGGCCCGCUCCAACAAAAAAUAAAUUGUGUACUUGCCGAGGGUCGACGGCGCGCCUAUAGAUGCAUCUAUUUAAUCUGCCGAGGCGUUCGGCCCGUUCCAAAAUUAAACACACACAUAUGGUCAAUCAAGCAGUCAACAAGGAACAAUCAUCCACAGUUAAGCCAAUGCUCCUUUAAAGAUUUUCUGAAAAUGAAGUUUAUUAUUUUGUGGAAAUUAAUUUACUAACUCGAGGUGAUUUAAGCGAUUCAAAUGUCGAUAAGUUUACGAUUAAUCCAAGUAUAGCAUGCUUUUAGGUCCUAAAUUAUCCGGACAAUAGCAUAAUAGUAGCAAUGCACGGACUCUCGUCACCUCGUGUGUACGUAGCCCCCAUAAAUAGAAGCACAUAACUAAUUAACUCACCUAUGGGGGCAAUUCCCUCUUAUAAGGUUAGAAAGGAGACUCACCUUGCUCCGAAGAUCCAUAAUCGACAUUUCACACCAUUUCCGAAGACUCUAAUUGAUGAACAAACUCCAAAGCUAGACAAUAAUGAUACUGAUCCAUUAAUAUAUAAUUUAUUCUCAAUUCCAUGCCCAAAAUCGUGGUCAAAUUCCAAGAACAUCAAUUUUCUAGGUUUUCAUCAAAACCUCUUGAUUUUCCUUAAUUUUUACAUGUUAAUCUACCCAUAAUCUAUGUAUUUAAGUUAAGAUGCAUAUAAAUUACUUACCUCUUUUAUGAUGACAGAAUCCCUACUCAAAUGCUCUCGAAAAUUGCCUAAUGCCAAGUGGAAAAUGAGGGAAAUGGGCUAAGUUUCGAAUUAAAAAGCCACAGCUCCAGACACAGAAGUCGCAUUUGACUCCAAACUCGCAAUUGCGAUGUCGCAUUUGUGACAAAAGCUUCGCAAAUACGAAGCCCGGCCUUCCCUAACAAAGUUACAUUUGCGAUAAAAUUCCUCGGAAUGCGAAGAGGACAGCAUUGCAAAAACGAUGGCCUCUUCGCAAAUACGAUUCCCCACUCAGUAGCCCGGGUUCGCAAAUGCGAGAAGGGACUCACUAAUGCGAAGUCGUAUUUGCAACCAUUGCAUCGCAAAUGCGAUCCUCCACGCAACAGUCCAAGCUCACAAAUGCGAAUGGAACCUCGCAAAUGCGAGGUCGCAAUUGCGAUCAUACCAGCACCAGAAAUUCCUAUUUUUAGCAAAUCACUCCGAAGCUAUCCCAAAUCUCACCCGAGCCCCCGGGACUCCAAACCAAACACUCGCACAAGUGUAAAAACAUAACAUGGACUUGCUCUAGGCGUCAAAUCAUACCAAACAACACUAAAAUCAUGAAUCAACCUCCAAUUCACGUUUUUUGAACAUUAGAACAUCAAACUUCUACUUUCGAAUCUGAAACCUAUCAAAUCACAUCCGAUUGACUUCAAAUUUUGCACACAAGUCAUAUUUGACAUUACGGACCUACUCCAACUUUCAGAAUUGAAUUUCGAUCCCGAUAUCAAAGAGUCCACUUCCGGUCAAACUUCUUAAAAACCUUUGAAUUUAUAUCUUUAGCCAAAUGGCUCCAAAAUGACCCACGGACCUCCGAAUUCACUUCCGAUAACGCUCCAAACUCCAAAAUCAUAAUACGAAGCUGCUCCCAAACUCCGAAUUCCAAACAGACAUCGAUGUCACUAAAAUUCACUUCACCCCAAACUUAUAAAUUUCUUUCAAAAUGCUACUUCCCACAAUAGGCGCCAAAAUGCUCUCGGGUCGUCCAGUACCUCCGAUUCGGGCAUACGCCCAAGUCCAAAGUCAUCAUAUGAACCUGCUUGAACCUUCAGAUCCCGAUUUCGAGGUUGUUGACUCAAAAUUCCAAUCCUAGUUAAUUCUUUCAACUUUAAGCUUCCUAAAUGAGAAUUUUCUUUCUAAAUCAACUCUGAACUUCCUAAUACUAAAUUCUGACCACGUGUACAAGACAUAACACCUAAAAUGAAGUUGUUCAUGGCCUCAGACUGCUGAACGAUGUGAUAGAGCUCAAAACAAUCGGUCGGGUCGUUUCAGAAACCCUACCCAUAGUCACAAUGAUUCAUUUAUGCUCUUAAAAAUUUUUCUAUCCAAAAUGUGAUGGGCCUAGACAUGCGUACUUCUAUCAUUCAAUUAAUGAAAGCAGAUUCGUAACAUUUUAAAGUUUAAUUUUGACUGACUUAUGCCAAUCCAAGCUCAAAUUAUUAUUUGUUUCUUUUAGUCUAGUUCUAUAUUCCAAUUUUCAUACUCAGCAUCCAAAUACAAUCCCUCAUAGAACUCUAACUUACCCAAGAAUAUGAAAAUUAAAACAGAUCCAAAUGAAAAUGAAUUAAUAUUGAGGAUUCAUAUAAUAGAAUCCUUGAGGAAUAGUACCUACUGCUCAUAAAUUAGUUAUAGAACAUUCAAGAUUAUAUCACAAACAAUAAAAAGGGAGAAAAAAACUAAAUCACACCCCAUCCUAAAGUAGAUAACGUUAUGCAAACAAAAAAAUCUUUAACACGGAUAAGAGCAUAUCAAGAACAAGAAUACAAACAAGGGGAAAGUACCAGAAAUGUUUUGAGAUAUGAGAGUAGUGUCAACUCUAAAGUGAUCCUCGGACGAGCUAUGGACCCGGAACCGGAAUCAACAACCUCGAACUCAAACUCGAAUCUCCUACGCGCAACUCCGUUCUGUUUCAAUUUUCUUUUCGAAAUAACAUUGAACAAAGAAGCUAAAACACAUUUGGAACUUUCUAUCUGAAUAACUAAAACUAGAAGGAGAAGCCGAUUUUUCUGGUCUCAAAGACGGUGACCAUGGAGAUUUUUUUCCUUUCUUUAUUUUAGGAGGGUGUGGCUAGCUUUUGUUUGUUUUUUUUAUUGUACGUGUGUGUGCUUCUGCUUGUAGCAGUGACGAAGCUCGGCAGCAAUGGAGGAUGGUUAGCGACAGCGAGGUCACAGGGUUUGGGUAGGGGAAGUUGUUGGUGGUUGACGCUUGGGUGUGUAGAAGAAAAGAGUAGAAGAGGGGGUGCUGUUAUGAUUGUGGAUGCCUGUGAUGGUGUGGAUGGGUUCUAGAGUUUCUUUGAGUGAAGAAGAUGAUGUUGAGAUGAGGGGUCUCUAGGUUAGGGGUAACGGCUGAUCAUUUAGGGUAGGGAUUCUAGGUUGAAA
This 3726-nucleotide long non-coding RNA is filed under the name Nicotiana benthamiana. Its description in RNAcentral is "long non-coding RNA (NBEN_LNC038275)". The record is from RNAcentral. Lineage: Eukaryota; Viridiplantae; Streptophyta; Magnoliopsida; Solanales; Solanaceae.